This 505-nucleotide ribosomal RNA is filed under the name uncultured bacterium. Its description in RNAcentral is "partial 16S ribosomal RNA". It matches the Rfam family "Bacterial small subunit ribosomal RNA", at positions 28 to 507 of the family's 1533-position model. The record is from RNAcentral.
GACGAACGCUGGCGGCGUGCCUAAUACAUGCAAGUAGAACGCACAGUUUAUACCGUAGCUUGCUACACCAUAGACUGUGAGUUGCGAACGGGUGAGUAACGCGUAGGUAACCUGCCUGGUAGCGGGGGAUAACUAUUGGAAACGAUAGCUAAUACCGCAUAAUAUUAAUUAUUGCAUGAUAAUUAAUUGCAAGGGGCAAUUGCACCACUACCAGAUGGACCUGCGGUGUAUUAGCUAGUAGGUGAGGUGACGGCGCACCUAGGCGACGAUACAGCGUCGCCCUGCGAGGGUGGGCGGCCACCCUGGGACUGUGACCCGGCCCAGAGUGCCUCAGGAGGCAGCAGUAGGGCAUCUUCAGCAAUGGACGAAAGUCUGACCGCGCAAGGCCGAGUGAGUGAAGAAGGUUUUCGGGUCGUAAAGCUCGGUUGUCAGGGAAGAACGGGUGUGAGAGUGGAAAGUUCACACUGUGACGGUAUCUUAUCAGAAAGAGACGGCUAACUACGUG